Molecule: ribosomal RNA, 468 nt
Filed under: uncultured bacterium
Lineage: Bacteria
Description: partial 16S ribosomal RNA
Rfam family: Bacterial small subunit ribosomal RNA
Source: RNAcentral
GACGAACGCUGGCGGCGUGCUUAACACAUGCAAGUCGAACGGAAAGGCCCUGCUUUUGUGGGGUGCUCGAGUGGCGAACGGGUGAGUAACACGUGAGUAACCUGCCCUUGACUUUGGGAUAACUUUAGGAAACUGGGGCUAAUACCGGAUAGGAGCUCCUGCCGCAUGGUGGGGGUUGGAAAGUUUCGGCGGUUGGGGAUGGACUCGCGGCUUAUCAGCUUGUUGGUGGGGUAGUGGCUUACCAAGGCUUUGACGGGUAGCCGGCCUGAGAGGGUGACCGGCCACAUUGGGACUGAGAUACGGCCCAGACUCCUACGGGAGGCAGCAGUGGGGAAGAUUGCACAAUGGGCGGAAGCCUGAUGCAGCAACGCCGCGUGCGGGAUGACGGCCUUCGGGUUGUAAACCGCUUUCGCCUGUGACGAAGCGUGAGUGACGGUAAUGGGUAAAGAAGCACCGGCUAACUACGUG